CAAGAACAAGCGAUAUUGCUAGAAAUGUGCCGAAUUGGUCGUUGAAUAUAUCAUAAGCACAAUUGUAUAAGUACUAGUACCAAUAUGUACGUACUUUUUCCCCCAAAUUUAUUUUUUGUUUUGUUUAACCGAUUGUUCGAAUAAAUUUAAUUUAAUAAAAUAAAAUUUUAGUAAUUCCUAUUUACCACACUGUUAAUAUUGCGAAAUUUUGUAAUUUAUUAUUAUUAAUUAUUUAAUUAUUGUGCCCUAUGUAUAUACGGUAUACAGGCAUAGACAAAUUGUAUGUCGUAUGUAUGUAUAAACAUCCGAAUUAUUUUCAAGCUACAAAUAAAGCGGGAAAAAAUAAAUGAUAUGCUAUAUGGUCAUAACUGGAAAAUUUUUCUUAUUAAGUCGGUAUAAAAAAAUAAGGAUUCAAAAUUCUCAAAGGACACAAAAAGAAAAAUAAAUGGUUUGUACGAUAAAAAAAUUUUGAAUUUAAAUUUUGGAGAGACAGCGUCGAGACGAUUCCCCACGGCCCCGUGGUUGCCAAAAAAUUAAGUGAAUAGUUAAAAAUUAGUUUGCCUUUGUUAGGUGAAUAAUUAUUUAAACGUUGUGAUUACCGAUAAAGGAAUGUUUUCGCGCUUUUGUAGAUUGUAACGAAAAAACCGACAAAGCUAUUGCAGCUUUAAUUUGCAAAACAUUGGAAAAUACAACAUUACUUUGGAAGAUCACCGCUACGAUAAGGGCUACGAUAAUGAUAGUAAAAUCAAUGGUAAAUAUGAAGGUGCGCAAAAUCACAUCCAACGUAAAAAUAAGUAUGUAGUUCUUUCGCCCUCACGCUGAAUUUGGCUGGAGUCGACUCGGCUGAAUGCUAUCCUAGAGCAAUAACUUCUUUUUUGGUGUAACGUUAGGAAAUUCUGAAAUCCAAAAUACCCAAUUCACUCCACUGUCCAAUACAAGGGGGUCUGCCAGAAUCGAUACCGUCAAGCCAUUUGCGAAAAAUCUUCCCGGAUUGGUAAAUGCUUUGAAAGAAGUUAAUAAACUCAACCUUACGGGAUCGUGCUUUUUAUGGCCUCCAUAUGGUUGAAAAUCCUCAAUCAAUGAAAGAAACUUAGUUCUUCAAGAGAUCAAUGCCACCAUCGACGCUAAAGUUAGAAGUAUAUAAAGCCUUCUUGUGGAUUUGUAAUUUCUGCCCGAAAAAAACACGGAAACGACCUAAAUGAAGAAGUGUAUUAAUAUUGCAGUAAAGAAUAAAUUGAAUUCAAAAGAAAUCGUUUUCAUUUCUAUGGCAGUUCCAGGUUAUGAAAGAAGAUAAACUCAACACAACUACAAAAAAUUUGAAAAAACUGUAUUCCGUUGAUGUACCUGAUAAGUUCUCCUAUGAAGCUAUUCAUCUCAGACAUGUUUACGAGGCACAUUUUUAAACGCGUCUUACUCCAUAUAACUUAUUAAAUGUCAUCAUUUGUCAUCAUUGCUCAAAAAUUAUGAAAACCUAUCCCAAAUAUUUGCAUCGCUUUGAGUAUAUUUUGCACUUUAGUCGUUUCUAUUUCAAAUAGUGAAAUAGUGAUAGUUUAGUGCUUUAGCAAGGAUCAAACAUUUUCAUCGAUCAUGCUCGUCACAGGGCAGGAUUUCUGGACUAGUUACACUGCGCCUUGAGGCAGAAUUAGUUAAGAAAUCCAGACUAUUAUCGACGCAAUCGAUGUCGCCAAAGCUCGAAAAGCUCACUUCUAAGUUCCAAAAAAUUUAAAAUUGGAGGGUUUUAACGGCAUGUCUUGUCAUCUGGAAAAAUAUUUUUGACUGUCUAUGUACAAAGCUGUGCGAUCAUGAUGGGCAACGAUCAUCUUUCAAAACAGGCCAAUGAGAACGCCACAUUGUUUUUUCAAUGUUUGAUGGGCUCCACACUUUGCACGAAGUAUGUAGCGGAGGAGUUCCGUCUAUCGGCCGAGACGUUGAUUGGUGAUAUUGAAACGCGUUUUCAGCAAGCAUUAGCACACCCUGGCGAAAUAGUGGGCUGGUAGCGCAAAAUUGGGUGAACGUGAUAAACAGUGUUUUUAGAUGACAAUCAACACUUUACAUUUUGCUAAUGUGCCAUAAAAUAACGUAACAUUGGGUGUGCCGCAUCUAAAGGAAAUCAUGUUUUUUUUACGCAGAGGACUGUCAUCUCGGAGGAUCAAGAAUUCGGAAAUGUCUACUAUGAGAUGUCCGAUUUCAAUACAACACACAUUUCGCCAUAGUUGCUGCGUAUCGAAUUGAAAUAUUCCAAGUGUUGGGCAUAAAGGCUGUGCGUAAAUCGGUUGAGGAAAUGAAUGCUGUACUGCGGUUCUACGUCUUGUACGUGAACUAUCGUCAUUUGACAGCUUACUGAAUACAAAUAUUUGCAAAUUUCGAUGGAAAGUUCUCAAGCUGGACUUCAAUAUCAUCAUUUUAGUUUUUAAAUUAUAAAAUUUAAGUUUCCUA
Molecule: long non-coding RNA, 2436 nt
Organism: Bactrocera oleae (olive fruit fly)
Lineage: Eukaryota; Metazoa; Arthropoda; Insecta; Diptera; Tephritidae
Source: RefSeq, a predicted model, not a curated record